RNAcentral lists this ribosomal RNA (382 nucleotides) under uncultured eukaryote. RNAcentral's name for it is "partial 18S ribosomal RNA". It matches the Rfam family "Eukaryotic small subunit ribosomal RNA", at positions 592 to 976 of the family's 1831-position model. The record is from RNAcentral.
UGUAAGCGUAUACCAAAGUUGUUGCAGUUAAAACGCUCGUAGUCGGAAUUUGGCAGUUCCGGAUGUGUGCACGUCGUGUGCGCACUUCGCGGGGAUUGCUUUUGUGGUCUUGCGUAGGAUGAGGCACUUUUAUUAGUGAACGUCCUCACGCAACCACUUUUUACUGUGAGAAAAUCAGAGUGCUCAAAGCAGGCAUUUGCCGUGAAUGUAUUAGCAUGGAAUAAUAGAAUAGGACUCGGUUCUAUUUUGUUGGUUUGUUGGGACUGAGUAAUGAUUAAGAGGGACAGUUGGGGGCAUUUGUAUUUCGGCGCUAGAGGUGAAAUUCUUAGAUUACCGAAAGACAAACUGCUGCGAAAGCGUCUGCCAAGGAUGUUUUCAUUGA